Molecule: ribosomal RNA, 227 nt
Filed under: uncultured bacterium
Lineage: Bacteria
Description: partial 16S ribosomal RNA
Rfam family: Bacterial small subunit ribosomal RNA
Source: RNAcentral
UACAGAGGGUGCAAGCGUUUAAUCGGAAUUACUGGGCGUAAAGCGUGCGUAGACGGUAGCGUAAGUCGGGUGUGAAAGCCCCGGGCUCAACCUGGGAAUGGCAUUCGAGACUGCUCUGCUAGGGUGCGGAAGAGGGGAGCGGAAUUUCCGGUGUAGCGGUGAAAUGCGUAGAUAUCGGGAGGAACACCAGUGGCGAAGGCGGCGCCCUGGACGGACACUGACGCUGA